UACGAAGGGGGCUAGCGUUGCUCGGAAUCACUGGGCGUAAAGCGCACGUAGGCGGAUCUUUAAGUCAGGGGUGAAAUCCCAAGGCUCAACCUUGGAACUGCCUUUGAUACUGGGGAUCUCAAGUCCGGAAGAGGUGAGUGGAACUGCGAGUGUAGAGGUGAAAUUCGUAGAUAUUCGCAAGAACACCAGUGGCGAAGGCGGCUCACUGGUCCGGUACUGACGCUGAGGUGCGAAAGCGUGGGGAGCAAACAGG
This 253-nucleotide ribosomal RNA is filed under the name uncultured bacterium. Its description in RNAcentral is "partial 16S ribosomal RNA". It matches the Rfam family "Bacterial small subunit ribosomal RNA", at positions 524 to 776 of the family's 1533-position model. The record is from RNAcentral.